Molecule: long non-coding RNA, 2340 nt
Filed under: Spirodela polyrhiza (greater duckweed)
Lineage: Eukaryota; Viridiplantae; Streptophyta; Magnoliopsida; Alismatales; Araceae
Description: long non-coding RNA (SPOL_LNC001803)
Source: RNAcentral
AUGGACGGAGGGGAGCUCAAGCUCUACGGCAUGUGGGCGAGCCCCUACGUGCUGCGAGUCCGGCUCGCCCUCAAGCUCAAGGGCCUGGACUACGAGUACGUGGAGGAGGACCUAUCCAACAAGAGCGCCGCCCUCCUCCGCCUCAACCCUGUGCACAAGAAGGUCCCCGUCCUCCUCCACGGCGGCCGCCCCAUCGCCGAAUCGGCCGUCAUCCUCGAGUACAUCGACGAGACGUGGCCCCAGAGAUUCCCGCUGAUGCCCGCCGAUCCCCGCGAGAGGGCCGCCGUGCGCUUCUGGUCCCACUUCGCCGUCAACAAGGUCGGCCAGAACUCCGGGGAGAUAUCCAUCCCCACUCCUCAGCCAUUCCUUUUGUCAAUUCUCCUUGCUCUUGCAGUUGGGUCCCUCGGUGACGGCGAUCUUCCGCUCCACCGGCGAGGGGCAGAGGGCGGCCGUCGCCGAAGCGCGGGAGAAUAUGAAGCUGCUGGACGAUGAGCUCUCGGAGGGGCUCUUCCGGGGGAGGAAGUUCUUCGGCGGGGAGAAGCUGGGCUUCCUGGACAUCGUUCUCGGCUGCGGGUCGCACUGGCUCCGCGGCGUUGAAGAGGUGGCCGGAGAGGACAUCGGCGAGGACUUCCCCUCAUUCACCCGCUGGCUUCGAGAGUUCGAAGCUCAGCCGGAGGUCCAGGAACUGCUUCCCCCUUCCGACAGGCUGCUCGACUACGUCCGCGGCGUCCGCCAAUUGCUACUGAAUCAGUCUUAGGAAGACGACUUCUGCCUGCUCUCCAGUCAGCCCAUGGAAUAAGGAGAGAAGAGCGAGAGCGAGAGAGAGAGAGAGAGAGAGAGGAUCGUGUUUCCAGGGACUGGUAUAAAUCAAUCUUUAGUAUUAACUAAUCUAGUAUUAGGCGUUCCGUCUCGGUCGAGUAAAGAGCUUAAUGACUACUUCACUAUUAUAAUUCUCAGAUCGGAUCAUGAAGAAAAUAAAGUCGGCGCUAUAAGGAGAGAAGACAUCGCUGUGUUACCCGGGACUGGUAUAAAACUAUUUUAAAUGAAUGCAUUAAGUAAUUAUAUCUACCGCGUAAAUAACUUAAUGACCACUUUACCUAUAAAACCGCAAGGAAUUAGCUUAAGAUAGAUCCUUCUUGGUGCCACCUGACGAGAAUCGAAAUUGCCCUCUGUCCCUGAACUCUCCAUCCGAUGGAGUUUUCAUGAUUUCUCACUAUCCGUGGGUGGCUAGUAAUACGGCGUUGUAAGUCACCCAUGCUCCUACGACGGAAACAAGCUCCAGUAUCACUGUUAAGAUUAAAAAUUUAGGGUUUAAGGUUUAAAAUUUAGGGUUGGUGAAGUACUAAUUCUUCAAUAUGCAAAACCCAUCCGGGCCAUCAGUAACAUCAGGAAGAUGUGAACGAGGCGGAGAGCUUCUACGGCAGGGCCAGGGAGCUCCGCCGCGACGACGAGAUCAUCCCAAGCAGUCCGCCGCUUCCCUCUUCUUCUCCUCCCCUCGUUCUGAGUUCGCUGUGCGAUCGGUUGGCGGGAGGAUGACGCCUGGAGUGUCACCGUCCUGCGUGGAGUCGUGGGCUUCGUGGGGUGACGAUAAGAGGGGGACGUCGUUAUCGUGCUGAAUAAGUGCAAGUGUGGAGCGAUAGAUAUCCUGACUGCUUCGGUAGUGCUAUGGAAGUCGUGGACGACGUGGGCGACGUGCAGACGUGCAGCUUCGGCCGUAGGCUUCCGUGGAAAAAGCCGCAGCUUUCGAGUGUAAAGAUCCCUGUAAUGAUAUUAUAUCACACCUCCGCACGACGAGCCCGGUGAGUGAAUUUCGUGAGAUUAAUUAUUUUUAUUCCCGUUCAAAUAUGAUCCCAGAAGCGGGUUUUUAAGGAUGUUCGUUCCCUUUUGAGGAAUUUUCUUGAUUUCGAGGUGUUUUCUACGAGCUUAGAUCCGGCGAAAAUUAACUCUGGGGAUCCGUUCCGUGAUUUCGUUGCCCAUCGACUGCUUGGGCCUCAAGAUAACAGCCGUCGCCGCCGCCGCGGCCUAUAAGGCGGCGACCAUGGCGAGCCAUCCGGCGUCGCUGAAACCAGGCUGGCCGCCAUGGAUGGAGGGGAGCUCAAGCUCUACGGCUUGUGGGCAAGCCCCUUCGUGCAGCGAGUCCGACUCGCCCUCAAGCUCAAGGGCCUGGACUACGAGUACGUGGAGGAGGACCUGUCCAACAAGAGCGCCGCCCUCCUCCGCCUCAACCCUGUGCACAAGAAGGUCCCCGUCCUCCUCCACGGCGGCCGCCCCAUCGCCGAAUCGGCCGUCAUCCUCGAGUACAUCGACGAAACGUGGCCCCAAAGGUUCCCCCUGAUGCCC